Molecule: long non-coding RNA, 492 nt
Organism: Oncorhynchus masou masou (cherry salmon)
Lineage: Eukaryota; Metazoa; Chordata; Actinopteri; Salmoniformes; Salmonidae
Exons: 3
Source: RefSeq, a predicted model, not a curated record
GGAUGGAGGUAGAUACUGGAGUGAUGGAGGUAGAUACUGUAUGUAGAGGGAUACUGGAGGGAUGGAGGUAGAUACUGUAUGUAUAGGGAUACUGGAGUGAUGGAGGUAGAUACUGUAUGUACAGGGAUACUGGAGUGAUGGAGGUAGAUACUGGAGUGAUGGAGGUAGAUACUGUAUGUAUAGGGAUACUGGAGUGAUGGAGGUAGAUACUGUAUGUACAGGGAUACUGGAGUGAUGGAGGUAGAUACUGGAGUGAUGGAGGUAGAUACUGGAGUGAUGGAGGUAGAUACUGGAGUGAUGGAGGUAGAUACUGGAGUGAUGGAGGUAGAUACUGGAGUGAUGGAGGUAGAUACUGGAGUGAUGGAGGUAGAUACUGUAUGUAGAGGGAUACUGGAGUGAUGGAGGUAGAUACUGUAUGUAGAGGGAUACUGGAGUGAUGGAGGUAGAUACUGGAGUGAUGGAGGUAGAUACUGUAUGUAGAGGGAUACUGGA